This 211-nucleotide small nucleolar RNA is filed under the name Anoplophora glabripennis (Asian longhorned beetle). RNAcentral's name for it is "small nucleolar RNA U3". It matches the Rfam family "Small nucleolar RNA U3". From Rfam's summary of the family: Small nucleolar RNAs (snoRNAs) are involved in the processing and modification of rRNA in the nucleolus. Lineage: Eukaryota; Metazoa; Arthropoda; Insecta; Coleoptera; Cerambycidae. The record is from RNAcentral.
AAGAUCAUACUUCACAGGAUCAUUUCUGUAGUAGGUCUUCCCAUACUCUCUACUCAAAUGUAGAGUUGUCGCAACCAUGAUGAUGAGACAUAGUCUCGUAUCCUGAGCGUGAGGCAGAUUUCUUGUGGUGGUUUUAUAUUACCGCAGAAGUCAUCGAUGAUCGUUCACCUGCAUUUUUUUGUGGGCACGGGUACGAGGCAAUCCGAGUGGU